GAUUGAACGCUGGCGGAAUGCUUUACACAUGCAAGUCGAGCGGCAGCGCGGGGGCAACCCUGGCGGCGAGCGGCGAACGGGUGAGUAAGUACAUCGGAACGUGUCCGUUAAGUCGGGGGAUAGCUCGGCGAAAGCCGGAUUAAUACCGCAUAAGCUCUGAGGAGGAAAGCGGGGCUCCGUAAGGACCUCGCGCUGUUGGAGCGGCCGAUGUCGGAUUAGCUAGUUGGUGGGUAAAGGCCACCAAGGCGACGAUCCGUAGCUGGUCUGAGAGGAUGAUCAGCCACACUGGAACUGAGACACGGUCCAGACUCCUACGGGAGGCAGCAGUGGGGAAUUUUGGACAAUGGGGGCAACCCUGAUCCAGCCAUUCCGCGUGAGUGAAGAAGGCCUGG
Molecule: ribosomal RNA, 392 nt
Filed under: uncultured bacterium
Lineage: Bacteria
Description: bacterial SSU rRNA
Rfam family: Bacterial small subunit ribosomal RNA
Source: RNAcentral